GUGCAGCAGGCGCGAAACUUCACACUGUGCGAAGCACGAUGAGGGAAUCCCAAGUGCUUGGCACGUAAGUGUAAGCUGUUUCUCUGUCUAAAACGCAGAGAGAGUAAGGGCUGGGUAAGACGGGUGCCAGCCGCCGCGGUAACACCUGCAGCUCAAGUGGUGACCGUUAUUAUUGGGCCUAAAACGUCCGUAGCCGGUUUAAUAAAUGCCUGGGUAAAUUGUGUAGCUUAACUAUACGAAUUCCGGGUAGACUGUUAAACUUGAGACCGGGAGAAGUUAGAGGUACUCCUGGGGUAGAGGUGAAAUUCUGUAAUCCUAGGGGGACCACCAGUGGCGAAGGCGUCUAACUAGAACGGGUCUGACGGUGAGGGACGAAGCCCUGGGGCGC
This 388-nucleotide ribosomal RNA is filed under the name uncultured microorganism. RNAcentral describes it as "bacterial SSU rRNA". It matches the Rfam family "Archaeal small subunit ribosomal RNA", at positions 330 to 720 of the family's 1478-position model. The record is from RNAcentral.